Molecule: ribosomal RNA, 322 nt
Filed under: uncultured eukaryote
Lineage: Eukaryota
Description: partial 18S ribosomal RNA
Rfam family: Eukaryotic small subunit ribosomal RNA
Source: RNAcentral
CCCUUAGAUGUCCUGGGCUGCACGCGCGCUACACUGAGUGGAUCAGCGGGUCAGGUUGCGCGAAAGCGUUUCCUAAUCUUUAAAUCCGCUCGUGAUGGGGAUUGACGGUUGCAAUUUUCUGUCAUGAACGAGGAAUACCUUGUAAGCGCGGGUCAUCAUCCCGCGCUGAAUACGUCCCUGCCCUUUGUACACACCGCCCGUCGCUCCUACCGAUUGAGUGGUCCGGUGAGGCUUUGGGAUCUGAGCGGAAAGAGCGUUUCGCUGUUUCUGCUCGGAAAACUCAGUCGAACCUUAUCAUUUAGAGGAAGGAGAAGUCGUAACA